UAUGCACCUCUCUCCCUUCUUGGCCCUCCUCAGCCUCUUCUCUUCCCAGAAAGCCUGGUCUUUGGCUCUGGUUUGUAGAUCCUGGCUAAAGAAACUUCCAAAUGCCCACCUUGGUGGUGAGAGGGCGCUGUGCCUGUAGGCUCCGUGGUCUUGGGAGGGGCCCUGAGGCCUAGGGGGAACAGGGGAAUCCUUGUGUGAGGCACACACAGAGCUGCUCCCACAGCGGCAGACCUGCGACCUAUUGCUGUUGGAUGGCUCUCCCAGGAGCAGAGGGAUUUUUCUUUGUAAAGAAAGACAGGAUCGUUAUGAAAACUGCUGCUUUUUUGAAAGAGGCUUUAUGGCUUAUGUACGAUAAGCGCCGUGGUCCAGAGGAAACAGAAGGACACAGGAACAUCUGUCUGCCACCAAAUCAACCAAUCCACAAGCAUUUAUUGAGCACCUACUAUGUGUCAGGGCUCAGUGAGUGUUCCAGGAACUGACUUUCCAUAGUAUGAUGACCUGUAAAAGCAGCCCUUCCAUUUACAUUUCAAACUCCAAGUCAGCCGUGGCCGUGUCUGAAUGAGAGCGGUACAGGAUAAUGGGUCAAAUGUAAUUAGCGGGCCAAAUAGCUGUACGGUCCAGGCUGAUUUAUUUUGUGCCCAUCAGAUUCCAAGAACCUCAGUGUUUAAAGGUCUAGACUUGUCUUCCUGACAACGGGCAUUCGGUAAGGACCCUGACCAUGAAAACCUGGGCUGCUCAAGUCAAGUCAACAAGCACUUAUAAGCUCCCACUAUGUGCCAGGCACUGUGCUAAGUACCACCAACUGUGUAUUUGUGAGGCCACCUGGGUGAAGUGCACAACCAUCGCAACACCGGUGCUUGUGAGAGACCACCAAAGUCACGGUCACUUCCACGCUAAGCCAAGUUUCUCUUAUGGAUGUCCCUUGAUGAAAAACUCUUGUACUCAGCCCCUUUGCUCAGCACUAGAGUCCCUACUGAAAAAUAGGAGAAAAAAUCCUUUGAACAUGUUGGGUAUUCCUUCCAGCAUCACCAAAGAGGGGAAAUAUGGAGGGGCAAAACCCUGCCCCCAAAACCCAAAACCCAAAUAACAAAACUAGGCAGAACUAAAAUCCUUUGUUCUUAACAAGAAAUCCAGCAAACGUCUUAAAAAUGAUUUGGCAAGAGACAAGGGUUGAGGCAAAAGGGGACAGAUUAGCAGCAUUGGUAUUGGAGGCCUAA
Phascolarctos cinereus (koala) is the source of this 1217-nucleotide non-coding RNA. NCBI's taxonomy places the organism in Eukaryota, Metazoa, Chordata, Mammalia, Diprotodontia, Phascolarctidae. The record is from RefSeq and is a predicted model, not a curated record.